AUUGAACGCUGGCGGCAUGCUUUACACAUGCAAGUCGAACGGUAACAGGGUGCUUGCACCGCUGACGAGUGGCGAACGGGUGAGUAAUACAUCGGAAUGUACCCAGUAAUGGGGGAUAACGCUUCGAAAGGAGUGCUAAUACCGCAUACGCCCUGAGGGGGAAAGUGGGGGACCGCAAGGCCUCACGUUAUUGGAGCAGCCGAUGGCUGAUUAGCUAGUUGGUGAGGUAAAGGCUCACCAAGGCGACGAUCAGUAGCGGGUCUUAGAGGACGGUCCGCCACACUGGAACGGGGACACGGUCCAGACUCCUACGGGAGGCAGCAGUGGGGAAUCUUGGACAAUGGGCGAAAGCCUGAUCCAGCAAUGCCGCGUGCGUGAAGAAGGCCUUCGGGUUGUAAAGCGCUUUUGUCUGGGAGCAAAUCCUGGCCUCUAAUACAGGUCGGGGAUGAGAGUGCCAGAAGAAUAAGGACCGGCUAACUACGUGCCAGCCGCCGCAGUAA
RNAcentral lists this ribosomal RNA (500 nucleotides) under uncultured bacterium. RNAcentral describes it as "partial 16S ribosomal RNA". It matches the Rfam family "Bacterial small subunit ribosomal RNA", at positions 30 to 523 of the family's 1533-position model. The record is from RNAcentral.